RNAcentral lists this ribosomal RNA (54 nucleotides) under Gnetum aff. schwackeanum Won 512. RNAcentral describes it as "partial 18S ribosomal RNA". It matches the Rfam family "Eukaryotic small subunit ribosomal RNA", at positions 1778 to 1831 of the family's 1831-position model. Lineage: Eukaryota; Viridiplantae; Streptophyta; Gnetopsida; Gnetales; Gnetaceae. The record is from RNAcentral.
GGAAGGAGAAGUCGUAACAAGGUUACCGUAGGUGAACCUACGGUAGGAUCAUUG